UGGAUGUUUCGGGGAGUUAGAAGGGAGCUGGAUUGAGAGACUGUGUUAGGGGCGGGGGUAUGGAACGUAGUGGAAAGGGCAGAAAUUUGGAUCUCAGUUCGCGCCCACCCCGCAGGCGCCUCCCGCGAGCCGGGCCCUCUGUGAGUGAGACAAGCUCCCCUUCCUUUACGCGCCUCACCUGGCGCGUGGGGAGAGGUCGGCAGCCCUCCGCCGCAGAACCUCCGGAAGGGAUGUCCUCUGCCCUGCGCCUCUGGCCGGGGCUGUGGUCCCUCCAGGCCGUCGAGGGGAUGCUGAGGCCGGUCCCCAGAGGAGCAUGACUUGGCUGGUCCGGAGGAGCUCUGAGGGCAUGGGCAAUCUUGGCUCGCUGCAACCUCAGCUUCCAGAGUUCAAGCGAGUCUCCUGCUUCAGCCUCAUGAGUAGCUGGGACUACAGAUGCGUGCCACUACGUCCGUCUGAUGUUUGUAUUUUUAGUAGAGACAGGGUUUCACCAUGUUGGUCAGGCUGCUCUCGAACUCCAGAUCUCGUGAUCCGCCCGCCUGGGCCUACUAAAGUGCUGGGAUUACAGGCGUGAGCUAGAUCUGACUUUCUAGUGUCCUAGCCUUGGCCCGAUGGACAUGUCAUUUCUCUCAGCUCGUUUCUGUCCCCUAAAGUGAGAAUAUUGCCUGGGAAGAUUACAUUAGACGAUGUAUAUGCGAAGACACUUGAUAGCUGGUAUUGUCAUGAUUCUGAUUAGUUCACUACUGCUACUUUCCCUGUGGCCUAGGCUUUGCCUAUUUCCAGUGGGCGAGCUAGCUAGAUCCUCCUCCCUUAAAUAAGCCAGUGUUUUUAAGACAGAAUACUACUUGCAUAGUGGACAAUAAUAUCUUAAAGAACUGAGCAGGAUGAAAAGAAUUUGAUAGAAAGCAGGUUUGAGGAGCACAUUGGAGGUUGGCAGGUUUCGAGGCUGCUUGAGAGGACUUGGGCCGAUCUGGGCUGGGCUUGGACGUGACCCUGGCACCCAGGCAGGUGGAUCCCAGCUGGGGCUUCCAUUCACGACUUUCUGGUCCCUGGCAGGACAGAGCGGGAUGCCACCAGCUUGUCCAAAGGGAAGUUCCAGGAGCUCCUGGUGGGCAUCGUUGUGGAGAAUGACGCUGGCCGCGGCGAGAUCAACGAGUUGAAGCAGGUGGAAGGGGAGGCUUCGUGCAGCAGCCGCAAAGGAAAGCUGAUUUUCUUCUAUGAGUGGAACAUCAAACUGGGCUGGAAAGGCAUCGUUAAAGAAUCUGGAGUGAAGCACAAGGGAUUGAUUGAAAUACCCAAUCUUUCUGAGGAAAAUGAAGUAGAUGACACUGAGAAUUUACAACGGGAAUGAUUUUACCAACGAAAGCUAUGGCAACCCAGGAAUUGACUGUCAAAAGAAAACUGAGUGGGAAUACCCUGCAGGUAUGAGCUCUGUUGGCCAAAAUGUAGGGAAGGGGUAAAGGAAGUGUUUGAGUCAGGGCUCCGAAUGGCCGUGUUGAUGGAGAACUGAGGACAGCGAGGGCCUUCUUCCGCCUUUGAGUCUCCCGUUCAGGCCUCAUCUCCAGUGGCACUGGGUGUAAGGAUUCCCACUGUGGCUCUUCACAUGAUGGAACUGUUUGACACAACUGUAGAGCAGCUGUAUAGCAUCUUCACUGUAAAGGAGUUAACAAAUAAGAAGAUCAUCAUGAAAUGGAGAUGUGGGAACUGGCCAGAAGAACACUAUGCCAUGGUUGCACUGAAUUUUGUGCCUACUCUAGGGCAAACAGAAUUACAAUUGAAGGAGUUCCUAUCUAUCUGUAAAGAAGAGAACAUGAAAUUCUGUUGGCAGAAGCAGCAUUUUGAAGAAAUAAAAGGUUCACUGCAGCUGACCCCCCUAAAUGGUUGAAUUAAAAUUUAUUAUAAGGCAUUACUUUUUGUAAGCGGAAAAAGUGUCACAUUUACCUCUUCCCUAUCUUUUGUUUAAAAGGACUGUCUUUAUUUUAUAUUGGAUGAAAUCUAUGAACAUAUAUACAAUGUAAAGCAUUGUUUGACUCUUUAUUAUAACUAGACACUGCAUUGAUUUAAAAGUAGCAAACAACCUGAAAUUAAGUAUUAACCUGACCUUCCAUCGAUAUUCCUCUGGAAAUAGGUAAGUCCUGAGUGCAGAUAGUUGAUGUUUCCCAAGCUGAAGCUUGUCCUAUAGCAAGCUUGCUUGCAGCUGUACUUUUAGUUCAAGAUGACAAAAAAUAAAUGGCAUGUUGACACUAUUCCUUUAUUUUACUUUAGGGUUUUUAAGGUGUGUAGAUCUUAGGUCGUAAAACAGUGGUAUAUUGCAUUCAAAAGCAUGUUGAGGUGAGGGCAAAUUGGCUGUGUUUUGCUCCACAUCUCCCUGCACAUCUCCCUGCUGUGGUUUUGCACUUCGGUGUGGAGAGGAUUGAGAAGUCUGUGGGGACACAUUAGUUCUGUGGACUGCUGGUAACACUUCCAGUGAAACAGCAUAUAAUGGAUAAAUGUUUCCCCCCUCUUUCACGGUUUUCUCACUACUUUCACCUGAGAAGACUGAAGCAACGUAUGUAAACAAAUGAAAAGUCAUCACAAUCAGUUUAAUUAAGUGCACAG
This is a long non-coding RNA of Homo sapiens (human), 2595 nucleotides long. Ensembl annotates it as activator of HSP90 ATPase homolog 2, pseudogene. Its record names the gene AHSA2P. The record is from Ensembl. NCBI's taxonomy places the organism in Eukaryota, Metazoa, Chordata, Mammalia, Primates, Hominidae.